AUUAGUUGUACUACUAGGGGUGGAGUGGCUCUGGGCCUUGUACCCCUGGGAACCCAGGCCCCUGGGAUUAGAGAGGGGAACCCAGAGCGAGCGGCCAGGAAAGGGAAGCGGAAGUUCCAGGGUGUAGAAGGUGUAAAAGCGCUCCUGGGACUCCAUCUGGUCAUGAAACCCCCCUCUUUGUUUCCUCUGCUGUCCUCACUGUAGACUUAAAGGUAAGCUCUGCGCACAACCCCAGAAAGGAAGAGGAAGUGAAAGCUGAAAGAAAGCUGGGAGGCUUGUGCAAACCUCAGGGCUUCUUGCAACAGCCUCACUUCUGCCCGGGCGCACAAGGCCCCGACUCAGCAGUGAGAGGCCCAGGGGGGCUGGGGCGGCAGGACAGGGUGCGGGGAGUGGGACCAGGGGAAGUGCGUGAGUCUCUUCCUUAUUGGAUUCUCUCUCUGUCUCAGCUUCCGCUUUUCUUUGUGGACAGAUUUGCUGACGCCUGACACCAGGAGUCAGAGUGGCUGGGUCACCAACCCCCAACCACACAGGGUCUGAUGCUCACUACUGUGUCUAACCCCUUCUUCUUCUUCUUUAUUUUUAAUUUUAUUUAUUUAUUUUUUGAGACAAGGUUUUGCUAUGUUGCCCAGGCUGGCCGCAAAACUCCUAGGCACGAGUGAUCCUCCUGCCUCAGCCUCCUGAGUAGCUGGGAUACAGGUGUCCACCACCUCGCCCCACUCAGCCCCAUGCUUUUUUUUGGUUCUGGGUAUUGAGCCCAGGGUGCUCAACCAGUGAGCCUGAGCCCCAGCCCUUUCUAUUUUUUGAGAUAGGGCCUCGCUAAGUUGCUGAGGCUGCCCUUGAACUUACGAUCCUCCUGCCUCAGUCUCCUGAGCCACUGGGUUUACAGGCACUUACCACCAUGCCCAGCUCAGCCCCAUGCUUUUUAAAAGAUAAGAAAACAGGCCCAGGCUGGGGAAGAGGCUGCUCCGAGGUCCACAGGGGGAUGGUGGUGAAGCAUGGACUGGAAGCAAGGGCUGUGGCCCAGAAGCGCCCCUCAGCCCUGCGGCUGGCAAGACCAAGUUCCCAUGCCUCAGCCUGCUACCCCAGGCUGUCCCCAGUCAGGCUCUGUGGUCCCUCUGCACCUCACACACUGAUACUCCCUGCUGCGGGCCUCUGCACGGGCUGACUCCUUGGACAGGAUGACACUUCUUCCCUUGCUCUGGGUGAAUUUUCCUACCCCUUUGGGGUUUAGUGCAGGCACUGCCUCUCCAGGAAGUGGGGGCAAGUCAGGGCCCUCUUCCCCAGACUGAGAGCAUGACUGUGAAAGUUAAAAUAUUUUUUGCUGCUGGGAAUGGAAUCCAGGGCCUUGCACAUAUUGGGCAAGAACUCUACCGCUUAGCUACAUCCCCAGCCUGUAAUGGUUAAUUCUAUGUGGCUAAGCUGUGGUGCUCGGUUGUUUGGUCAAAUUCAUCUAGAUGUUGCCAUAAGGAUUGGGGGUUUUUAGCACAGUGGUAGAAUGAUUGCCUAGCAUGGGCAAGGCCCUGGGUUCAUCCUCAGCACUGGAAAGAAAAAAAAAAAAAAAGACCAGGUAGAUGUUGUUGUAAAAGUAUUUUGUAGAUGUGAUUAACAUCUACUUUAUAAAGUAAAGCAGUAACCUCCCAUAAUGUGGGUGGGCCUCAUCCAAUCAGUUGAAGGGAAGGCCUUAGGAUAAAAAAAAAUUGCUGUUUCCCAGAGAAGUAUUUCUGCCUCAAGACUAACAUACAAAUACUGCCUGAGUUUCCAGCCUGCUGGCCUGCUCUACAGAUUUUGGACUUGCCAGCCCCCACAAUUGCAUGAGCCAAGUUCUUAAAAUAAUUUUUUCUGUAUACACACUCUCACACACUACUGGCUCUAUUUCUCUGGAGAGUGCUGACUGGUACAAUCAUGUUGAUUCAAAAUCAUAUCUGUUCACAGGUCCUCUCCACAAUGCAGACAGUGACCACAGGGGCACAGAGAAGGUCUAGCAAGGGAAUGCUGAGAGAAAGAAACCAGAGUGGGGAAGAGGAAAGGGAUGGAGGAAGCUGUCAGUCACCAAAGGACCAAGAGUGAAUGAAUGAAUGAAUGAGACCUAGAGGGCCCCCUCCAUGCUAAGUGGUGUGCUGCCUCUGAUCUGAAGUCACUUCAGAAGCCAGGGGCCCUGGAUCCUCCCACCUGACAGUCCAUGCACCUGAGUAGACAUGUCAUUUUCUUUACUGUAAAGGAGGGACCCCUGGCUCUCCCAUGGCAGGACAGUGGUCUCACUGAAGACCCUUUGCCUGAGCUACCGUGGCAGCGUACCCUCAAGGCUGGUCUUGGAAUCUUCACCACACGGCUGGAAGGAGCUUUGGGGACCCUCUUGUCCAAUGUGGUCGUUUUAAAGACAUGGAAACAGAGGCCCCAAAGCCACAUUCCCAGCAUAGGAACUCUUGACCCUAGCACAUUUAUUUUAUUCCAUCUGUGCCAAACAUGGCGGCCCUGUCCCACUCGGCCUCCCCGGCCAGGGUGUUCACCUUCUGUGAUCUGGGGGCUCUGAGCGGGGCCUGGUGGCAGGUGGGGAGUGAGGGUCCCCGCCAUUCAGCCCUCCUGGAGGAAGUAUCUUGGGCUCUCAGGAGUUUCACCGCAUAGCUGCGCCUUGCCCCUACCUGCUAAAGCAGUCCCCCAGGGAGAGAGGAGGGAGAAAGCACCAUCCCACCCUGUCCCUGAUGACGCCGCCACCACUUUCCAUCAGGCUUGCAGUCAAGGCUAAACACUCCACCAAGGACCUAUGCAAACUUGCUUGGCUGAUCCCCGCCCUCAUGGCCACUUCACAGCGAGCUGCUUGCCCCCUGCCCUUCAUGCUCCAGCCAUGAGAGCUUCGUUUAUUUCUUUUAACAUUCCUUGCCUGCCUGGGGCCUUUGCACAUGCUUGGAAUGCUCUUCCUCCUUCCUCAUCCUUGUGCUUUCAACUCGGGUAUCACAACAGGUCCCCCAAGUUCUCGGUAGCUUCAGGUUUAAUAUUUUCUUUUCUUGGAUGUCAUGAUUUUUUAAUGAUUGGUUUACUGAUUUGUUGGUACAACUACUUGCUUAAUAUCUGGCAUUCCAGUGAGAGGAUGGCUCCCCAAGGGUAGAGGCCCUGUCUAUUUUGCUCACCUCUGCAUCCCUAGCAGGGUACACAUAGAGACUGAAAUGCUGCCCUUUUGAGAAUACCCAUACUCAAGGGCAAAGGAAAAAAAAAAAAGAGGCCCCUUGCUGAGCCCAGCUUUGGAAAGCAGCCAGAUGGAAAUCAUCCGGUCUGGACUUCCUUUCCCUGAGCUUCAGGCUGGGUUCCUGUUUCCAGGGGGAGGACAGCAGGCCUUGUGUUUCUGCAAGUCUCCUAGCCCCUUCUCCAAUUCCAGAAGCAAUAAGCAUGUCUGUCUCCCAAACGAGGACGCUAUCCCGGACCCAAGAAUCACCAGCUUAAAAAUGCAACAGGGAAAAAAUGAACAAAACUUUGGUUCACAAGUUCAAGGGACAGAGAUAAGAAUCACAAACGAAGGAACAACAUGAACAUCUUUGGGGCCUGGUUCAGGCCCUGUGAGGAGCACAUGAUAUUUCUAGUCCUCUGAGCAGUCCCUUGGGGGUGGGAAGCAUCACUGCCAUCUUACAGAUGUGAAACCUGACGCAGUCCCCAGAAGCAGGGUGGGCAGGGCCCCCACCGGGUCUGCCCAGGGCCAAGGCCCAGUGCUCUCCCCUGCACCAGCUCUUGGUGGGCAUGGACUUUCUGGGUCACGUCUUCCUCCUCUGUCAAGCUCAGUGCAGACCCAGGAGAUCUCCAUGGCUUCCCUUCCUCCUCACCAAGCUCAUCGCGGGUCCCUCCCUCGCUGAGCCCUCCGCCUUCUCCAUCCUGUCUUCCUCUCCCUCCAUUCCUCCCCUCUUCCGUUUCCGUGGCAACCCCAUCCUCCGCUCUGCCACUCGGUCCUGCGUUCCCAUCUCAUCUCUUUCUUUCCUCUUUCAUCUCUCCCCUCUUCGCAGUGCAGAGUCCAAAUCACCCUGUGUCCUUUGCUUCUGGCCUCUAGCUGCCUUUUACUCUCCUUUUAUCUCCU
This 4057-nucleotide long non-coding RNA is filed under the name Marmota monax (woodchuck). The record is from RNAcentral. Lineage: Eukaryota; Metazoa; Chordata; Mammalia; Rodentia; Sciuridae.